Molecule: long non-coding RNA, 342 nt
Filed under: Carica papaya (papaya)
Lineage: Eukaryota; Viridiplantae; Streptophyta; Magnoliopsida; Brassicales; Caricaceae
Description: long non-coding RNA (CPAP_LNC001854)
Source: RNAcentral
AAAAUAGCAAGGUUAAAGUACUUGACAAUCAAGAAAACUUGCCAUCAAGGAAUAAGUACUAAACGAUUUUAUUAAUUUGUAAAUGGCUCCUCAUUAGGAGGAUUGAAUAUAACCUUCUUGCUAAAGCAAUCUAUGGUGGAGUGAUACGUCGCUAGCCAAUCCUUCCCUAAAAUUACAUCAAAAUUCCCCGUGUCUAAUCCUAUUAGGUCUACACUUAAUUUCCUAUUUGCUAUCUCUACAGCAUAAGCCCUGUAGACAACUUCUCCCAAUAGUGUUUCACCCCCAGCAGUAGACACAAAUAACAUUGAAUCAAGUUUAUCAGGUAAUACAUUAAAUUUGGAU